Molecule: transfer RNA, 93 nt
Filed under: Dipodomys ordii (Ord's kangaroo rat)
Lineage: Eukaryota; Metazoa; Chordata; Mammalia; Rodentia; Heteromyidae
Rfam family: tRNA
About the family: Transfer RNA (tRNA) molecules are approximately 80 nucleotides in length. Their secondary structure includes four short double-helical elements and three loops (D, anti-codon, and T loops).
Source: Rfam by way of RNAcentral
GGAGGUGUGGCUCAAGUGGUAGAGUGCCAGCCUUGAACCCAAAAAAAGCUAAGCAAGAGCAUGAGGCCUUAAGUUCAAGCCUUAGUACCACCA